AUCCUUUUGUAGUUAUAAGUGUGAUGAUUGGGUGUUGGUGCAUAUUUGCUCCUGAAACCUUGUCACAACACUGGCACGUUACCUUUCUAAUG
This is a small nucleolar RNA of Otolemur garnettii (small-eared galago), 92 nucleotides long. NCBI's taxonomy places the organism in Eukaryota, Metazoa, Chordata, Mammalia, Primates, Galagidae. The record is from Ensembl.